CUUCCUCGCCGCCCCCUCACUCCCUCCUUCCCCAGCGUGGACACUAGCGGGUUGAGGGCCGGCUGGACCGCCCGGUAUCCUGUUGUUGACUGGGGCACAAGGUCGGACUUACACACCUUUCCACCUGUGAGACCCGUCGGUUUUGCAUUUGGCCUGUCUGCCAUCAUUCCCUGGCCCUGUGUGGAUUCCAAGUCCUGUGACGCCUUGCUGUUAGAACGCUCCCUCAAGGUGUAAAUGGUAAAGGACUCAG
Molecule: long non-coding RNA, 250 nt
Organism: Neofelis nebulosa (Clouded leopard)
Lineage: Eukaryota; Metazoa; Chordata; Mammalia; Carnivora; Felidae
Exons: 2
Source: RefSeq, a predicted model, not a curated record